Molecule: long non-coding RNA, 2325 nt
Organism: Vitis riparia (riverbank grape)
Lineage: Eukaryota; Viridiplantae; Streptophyta; Magnoliopsida; Vitales; Vitaceae
Exons: 2
Source: RefSeq, a predicted model, not a curated record
GAAGAUUACACAUAGAUUGUCAUUUAAUUCAAUCUAAGAUCAGAUUAAAAGAAAAAAAAAAGUAUAUUAUAAAACAUUAUAUUAUCAAUCAUUGGGAUAAUGAGGUGGAGGGCUAUCAAUCUAUUCUUGAUGGAAAUUAUGACAAUUUUAAUUUCAAUGAUGACAAUAAUGAUGAUGCCUAAAGCUUCUCUAGGAUGCUCAUUAUCUUAUCGUGCUUUUAUUCUGAUUUUUGGAUAUUUGGAAAUUUAGAAUAAGCCUUUAGAAAAGGUAAAUUUCUUCUCUAAACAAUAUAAUGUCUCUUACAAUGUGGGAUAUAAUAUUUAACACUUAGAAUAAUUAUUACUAUUUUGUUGACUUUAUAAGACACCAUGAGGAUGAAAAUUUAAUACUAGAAUGGACUGAUCACUGUAAACGAUAGUAAAAAUUGGAAUUACAUCAUUUGAUGACCAAUGUCUGUUACACAACAGACAAAGAGACUCAUCUAAAAUGAUGUUAAGAAACUUUAAUACAUUUUAAAUCCUAUAUAAGCCUUGGACCGCGUUCACUUCCAUAGGAUGUUCAAGUGCACCCUCAUUUUCAGAAUGAAUUAUAGUCUUGCACCAUGGUAUUUAUCCGGAACUUGAACUGUCUUCCUCUUGCUUUAACUCUCAUCCUUGUCACCUUUUGCAUUAAACUAAAAGGAGUCUUAUCGCUUUGAUAUCCCCUUUUGCUUUAACAAUACUGGAUGGAACCAUUGAACAGAAUGGACUGAUCACUGUAAAUGAUAGUGAAAAUUGGAAUUACAUCAUUUGAUGACCAAUGUCCUUUACAUAGCAGACAAAGAGACUCAUCUAAAAUGAUGUUAAGAAACUUAUUACAUUUUAAAUCCUAUAUAAGCCAUGUUGGACCACUUUCACUUUCAUAGGAUGUUCAAGUGCACCCUCAUUUUCAGAAUGAAUUAUAGUCUUACGCCUUGGUAUUUAUCCGGAACUUGAACUGUCUUCCUCUUGCCAGGAAUACAGCACCAUCUCUGACUUCUUAGUCAUUGUUCAGAAGAUAAAUAGAGUAGCAGGGAUGCAUGAUAUAUGGGAAGAGAAACUUAAUGGUGUGAUGCUUAUGUGGUGUUGCUGAGAUACAGGAGGAAUAAAAAAUGGUGGAAGUUUAGGUCUCAUGGUGACCUGGAUAGCAACAUGCUUAUAAUUGUCUAAAAUGCGACCCACCCUAGAAAUGGUUUGCAAAUUUGUCAUAAGUUUAGAUUCAUGUCAAUUUGUAUGCUUUCCAUUAUCAAAGAAGAAAGGUAUAUUUUGUUUUGUAGUCACUUGGUUUUUCAAGCUUGUGAUACAUAGAGCGUUUCUGCACAAGUGCUUCAAAUCAAUGAACUGAUUAUCUUUUAUAAUGAAGCAUAAAAUUUUUAUCAAGAGAACAAUACUUAAGUUUUCAUGACUGUUUCAUGGUCAGGUGUUGAAUGUUCAUUUUUUUAGGUUAGGGUUAACAGACUCUGGGGCCAAGUGACAGCAGGAAAGUUGAUGAAAUGAAUACUUGGAAGCUUGUAGUCAUCUUUGCCUAAGCAUUAAAAAGGUUAUUCACAAAUGGUAGGAGGGAAGAAUAAAGAAGUGUAUUGCAAGAGAAGUAAUUGAGAUAAUGAGUUAAUAACAGUGGCGAAGGAAGAAUUUUUGUUUAAUUUGGUCAAAAGUUUGAGAAUAAGUGUUGUGGGGAAUUUGCUUUUUAAAAUGUGAAAUUUUGCCAGAAAAGACCUAUUCCUCUUUCUUCAAGUUGUCUUUGUUUUGGGACUGAAAAAAUAUCCUAUACAUUGAAUGUUUUCCAUGAUCACCAUGAGAUUAACAGGACAUCCAUGACUAUUUUCUAAAGGCACACCCACAAAAACCUUUAGAAGUUUCAAAAGUCGAGUGAAUCUCUCUGCUAGUAACUUGCAAGCUGACCUGAAUGCAGGGUUCCCCAGAUUCUACCACCACUUGACCAUAGUGGAGCUAAAGGUUGUCUGAUGCUUGUUGGGUGAAGAGAGGGGGAAUGAGGAACAGAAUUAUGAUCAGAUUGCAUUCCCCGACUUGGAGGAAUUUAUGCAGGUUUGGUUGGCACCACCACCCAGUAUCAUCUACUUCAAUUCUCGUGGUUGACAAAUUUCAACGACAAAGUCUAUUCUCCAAAAUCUGUCUGCACUUUUCUGGUACAAACUACAACUGAAACUGGUACGCAUUCUGUAUUUCUACGCUGAGAACACAUGGUUUCUGGAGACACAAUGUAUGUUAAACAUCACAAGCAUGAUGCACUUUAACAUUUGAUUGAUUGAGAAUUUGAGAUAACAAAAUGAUAUCAUUUGGGUUUCCA